Molecule: antisense RNA, 75 nt
Filed under: Streptomyces zinciresistens K42
Lineage: Bacteria; Bacillati; Actinomycetota; Actinomycetes; Kitasatosporales; Streptomycetaceae
Description: ASpks TB sRNA
Rfam family: ASpks TB sRNA
Source: Rfam by way of RNAcentral
CUUGAUGGCACCCAGCCACAGCGGACGGCCCUCCGGCCGGUCCUGGCCGUAGGUGGCGAGCAGCGCCUGCGCCUC